Molecule: ribosomal RNA, 394 nt
Filed under: uncultured bacterium
Lineage: Bacteria
Description: bacterial SSU rRNA
Rfam family: Bacterial small subunit ribosomal RNA
Source: RNAcentral
AUUGAACGCUGGCGGCGUGCUUAACACAUGCAAGUCGAACGGUAACAGGCCCUUCGGGUGCUGACGAGUGGCGGACGGGUGAGUAAUGCGUAGGAAUCUGCCUUACAGUGGGGGAUAACCUAGGGAAACUUAGGCUAAUACCGCAUAAGCUCUACGGAGGAAAGCGGGGGAUCGUAAGACCUCGCGCUGUUAGAUGAGCCUACGUCCGAUUAGCUAGUUGGUAGGGUAAAGGCCUACCAAGGCGACGAUCGGUAGCUGGUCUGAGAGGACGAUCAGCCACACUGGGACUGAGACACGGCCCAGACUCCUACGGGAGGCAGCAGUGGGGAAUAUUGGACAAUGGGCGAAAGCCUGAUCCAGCGAUGCCGCGUGUGUGAAGAAGGCCUGCGGGGUU